AUGUGUACGAUGAUGAGGCAUGGAACAUGCUCGGCCCCUGCUGUACAGGAAGAAUUACAGUACUUCACUACUGCCCGUGAUCUCUACAUCAGAUAUAAUGUUACAGGAAUACUGGCGAUCGGGGAUAUCUUGAUCUCCAACGAUCAUCUGCAAGAAGAGCUCAGUUCAAGAACUAAGGCUAUGCUUUGCCAAGGAUUUGAAGUUGUUAUUUCUGGCCAUGCAUUAUCUUUAUGGAUGAAAUCAAUGAAAUUUUUGGGAGAAAAUUUAGUGGGGGAACCAGUGAUGACUUCCCGCGGAUGCGGAUGGAGCUUCUUAAUCAGCUGGAUGGAUUUGAUGAGCUUGGCAAGGUAG
Molecule: ribosomal RNA, 351 nt
Filed under: Triticum aestivum (bread wheat)
Lineage: Eukaryota; Viridiplantae; Streptophyta; Magnoliopsida; Poales; Poaceae
Description: partial small subunit ribosomal RNA
Source: RNAcentral